Molecule: ribosomal RNA, 1153 nt
Filed under: Baruna trigranulum
Lineage: Eukaryota; Metazoa; Arthropoda; Malacostraca; Decapoda; Camptandriidae
Description: partial 16S ribosomal RNA
Source: RNAcentral
GCUAUUGUAAAACUUAUUUGAUUAAUAUAUUUGUUUAUUUAUUUGAAAAGUAAUUUAAUUAUUAAAGUAAUGUUUAAUAAAAUAGUAGUUUAAAUUAUAGUGUAUAAGUACUGUGAGGGAAAGUAUAAUUGUGAAAUAAUGUUUAUAGUAAAUUUUAAUAAUUGUACCUUGUGUAUUAGGGAAAAUUUAUAUAAAUUAUGCAAUUAGUAAUCUCGAAAUAAAAACAGCUAAUUCUAUACAAUUUUUUUUGUAGUAUAAAAAUGUUUAAUAUAGAAUUAAAGAUGAAAUAUCAGUCGAGUUUUGUUAUAUCUAGUUUUUUUAGAAGUAAAUUUAAUUUGAAUUUUAAGGUAUUUAAACUUAGAAUGUAAGUGUAGAAGGGAGAAGCUUUUUAUAUAUAAGGUGUAAAAUAGUAAUAAAUUUAUUUUAUUUUUGAAUUAGGCUUAAAAGUAGCUACAUUUUUAAAGUGUUUUAACUAGGUGAGAAAUAAAUAUAGUUUUUAUUAUUACUUUUAGUAGUUAUAGAAAAAUUAUUGUAAAUUAGUUUGAAUAAAAUAUAAUGAUUUUAUUAGUAGAAUUGUAAUAUUUAGAAAAAAUAUAGAAUGGUUAAAUAAUUAUAAAGGUAACGUGAAGAUAUAAAGGAACUCGACAAAUAAUUUCUUUGCCUGUUUAUCAAAAACAUGUCUGUUUGAAGAUAUAGGAAGUUUGGCCUGCCCACUGAUAGGUUUAAAGGGCCGCGGUAUUUUGACCGUGCAAAGGUAGCAUAAUCGUUAGGUUUUUAAUUGGAAUCUUGUAUGAAUGGUUGGACAAAGGGGAGUUUGUCUCUAUAUUUAAUUAUUGAAGUUAACUUUUAAGUGAAAAGGCUUAAAUAUAUUAAUAAGACGAUAAGACCCUAUAAAACUUAAUAUGAAUUUUUGUUUGAUUAAAUUUUUAUGUAGUAUAUAAUGAUUUGAUAAUUAGUUCGUGUUAUAUUGGGGCGAUAUAAAUAAAGUGAAUAUUAACUGUUUGAAAUUAGAACAAAUUAGUUGAUUAUAAAUUUAAAUGAUCCUAUUUAAAGAUUAUAAGUUUAAGUUACUUUAGGGAUAACAGCGUUAUUUUUUUUGAGAGUUCUUAUCGAAAGAAGAGUUUGCGACCUCGAUGUUGAAUUAAGAUGUCUA